Molecule: ribosomal RNA, 1170 nt
Filed under: Triticum aestivum (bread wheat)
Lineage: Eukaryota; Viridiplantae; Streptophyta; Magnoliopsida; Poales; Poaceae
Description: partial small subunit ribosomal RNA
Source: RNAcentral
AUGAUGAAGGCUGCACAAUCUCGCCCUUGGUCAGAUCUUCCGCCAGAACUCCUGGGACUUGUUCUCAAGCGCCUCCCUUCCCUAGCUGACCGUGUUCGUUUGAGAGCUGUCUGCCACCCAUGGCACUCUAAUAGCAGGUUGCGGACCCUUCCUCUCCCAUUCCCGUGGCUCACUCUCCCUGAUGGCACCCUCCUCGGCAUUCCAAGCGGUGAAAUUCACCACAUAUCUUUACCGGAAGGUGCGUGUUGCCAGGGCUCCAUUGACAACUGGCUAUUCCUCAUGCACAAUCAUGGUGUGUGCUACUUGAUGAACCCUUUCUCCAAGACCAGGUUGCAGCUUCCUAAGCUAGCAAAGGUAUGGAAGCGUGAGAUAUAUGAUCCCGAACCCCGAAUUAACCCAAUUUUCUACAACUUGGUGGUGCCCUUUCCACUUGACUCGUCACCCUGUUCCCUACUUGCUGCACUGAUCAUGGAUGAUGGUAACUGGGGUACACUUUGUAUUAGUCAAUCACCGAUUGUCACUGACUCAUUCAGAGAUGAUAAGCAUCCAGCAAAGCUCCUCUGUAGUGUUGCGUUCUUUGAUGGCAAGCUGUACGGGCUGGGGGGGUUUGACCAACUAUUCAUCUUUGAAUUAGACAAGGACCUUGGUAUUUCAUCCAUGGAGUGUAUAAUUGACUCUAUGGGUGAGUUAGGUGGAAUACCUCAAUCGUUGUCGGAAGAGAAGGCGUAUAUGAUAAGGCGGUAUCUAGUUGAAUGUGGCGAUAGACUGUUGAUGGUGAAACGGUGGAUUCAUCCUAUUGCCCGUUCAACAAGUGAUGACUUUUUCGAGCAUAACCGUACUGUUGCACUUGGGGUUUUUGAGGCAGAUUUGGGCACCGAUCCUGCUGGAUGGAGAACAGUAAAUGAUUUGGAUGGCCAUGCGCUCUUUCUUGGCCAGCAUAGCUCCAAGUCCCUGCGCGCUGGAGAAUGCAGUGGAUACCAAGAGGACUGCAUCUACUUCAUGUGUGACUAUUCCUGGCCAAAGCAUUCUGCAAAUCCUCUUCGUGAUGCCGGUGUUUACAACAUCAGGAAUCAGACAUUCAUGCCACUGAUGUCGGGGACUGCAGCGGUACCGCCACAUCAUGCUGGCCAGUGGCGUCCGACAUGGUUUUUCCCUCCUGAAGCUGUGUGA